GGUGUCAGCCUGGUGAAGGAUGAGAGCCCCCACUGGGCUUUCUGAAGAGAUGACUCUUGUCUGCAGUUUGUGAGCUAUAAUUACGACAGCAUUAGACAAAGAUGUGCCAAAAAAUUUCCAUCAUUUUCAGGGUCAUCAUGAUUAAGAAAGUUAAAAUUCUUUGUGUUUAGAGACAAGAAGAGGCGAGGGAGUGUAGGUUGAGACAGAGCAAGUGGCUGACCUUGGGAUUGCUCCCAUGGGUUGUUGUCUUAGGAGACAUGGCCCUGCCCCACUGAAGUGGGUGCCCUGGCCAAAGUGCCCUCACAAGUCUUGAAGGGGCAGAGCAUGCCAGAAUCACCAUCCUAUGGUGGAGGUGAUAGGAUGCCCAGUGACCCCAUGGAGUGGAGGCAGCUGAGGCCAGCUGAGGGCAGUGGAGGACUGUUGGCAUCUGGGCAGUGUCAGUCCUUAAAGCAGUUAGCAUCACCCUAUCUGGGUAAUGGGGUUGAAGGUGUUAAAGCCCAAGUGUGCUCUUAGCGCUUUCUCACACUUCUUGUUUCUCCACUGGGGCUGAUGACCAUGGCCCCAAAGGCAGAGAUCAGAUCUGGGAGCCAGUCUGAACUCCCAGGUCUCAUAGAUGGAAUAUGGGUGGACUUCAAAGUAGAGGUUGAUUAUGGGAGUGUGGUGCUGGUUCUCCCAGGAGAGCUUAAGCCUUUCUGUGUGGGCAGGCUUUGGAGGAUGGCAGUAACUGUGGCCACACCAGUGGUUUCUUUACCUGGUGUGUGCCUUGCUUUCUGUCCCUUGGUCCCCAUGGUGGUGCUCUGGCUAGGGGCACUGGAGGUGUUCUGUUCUAACUGUGCCCCAUGUUGCUGCCUGUUGCUUGGGGUACCCCCUCUUUUGGAGGAGAUACACAAGGCCUCAAAAGCUAUAAUGAGUUCAGGGAGCAUGUCAUGGCUCCCAGAUCCUCUCAAUAUCAUUGGGACCAAAGGAUAACUAGAGGUAUCCUUACUGGCUGUACUGCUUGUCCCGCAAGGUGAGCUUAGGUGUUUCUGGGUGGGCAGGCUUUGAGGGAUGGCAGUCAGGGUAGGAACACGAGUGUUUUCUUGCCCCUUUGUUCCCUUUUCUGUGUGUUUCCCCAGUGCCACAGUGGUACUCUGGCUAGGGGCACUGGAGGUGUUCUGUUCCCCAUGUUGCUGUCUGUUGCUUGGGGUCCCUUUACUUUGGGAGGAGAUACACAAGGCCUCAAAAGCUAUAAUGAGUUCAGGAAGCAAGUCAUGGCUCCCAGAUCCUCUCGAUGUCACAGGGACCAAAGGGAAACUAGAGGUAUCCUUUCUGGCUGCACUGCUUGUCCCACAAGGUGAGCUUUGGUGUUUCUGGGUGGGCAGGCUUUGAGGGAUUGGACUUGGGGUAGAAACACCACUGUUUCCUUGUCCCUUUUUACCCUCUUUUGUGUGUUUCCCUGGUGCCAUGGUGGUGCUCUGGCUAGGGGCACUGGAGGUGUUCUGUUCCAACCUUGCCCCAUGUUGUUGCCUGUUGCUUGGGGA
Molecule: long non-coding RNA, 1520 nt
Filed under: Marmota monax (woodchuck)
Lineage: Eukaryota; Metazoa; Chordata; Mammalia; Rodentia; Sciuridae
Source: RNAcentral